RNAcentral lists this long non-coding RNA (3345 nucleotides) under Homo sapiens (human). RNAcentral's name for it is "HSALNT0072659". The record is from RNAcentral. Lineage: Eukaryota; Metazoa; Chordata; Mammalia; Primates; Hominidae.
UUGAAGAUGACUCACUACCACCAUGUCCAACCUCCAAUUUGAAGGAAAAUGGAAAGGGGAAAGUUGAACCAACAGUACCUUUAUGAAGGCAUGGCCUGAAAAUGGAAGAUUAUCACUUCUCUUUGCAUCACACUGGCAGAUCAGUGUGGAAAUGGAUGUGGACGCGGUGCUGCUGCCUGAGAUUAGCAGGAAGCAAUUCUUUUCCCAUUUGGAGAGACCCCGGUGAGACCUGAUCAACUAGCAACAUGCGGAAGUCACACCAUUAAGUCUUCCAAUUUGCUAGCAGCAAAUCAAUGAACUCUGAUAGCUGCUGCCCUAAGCUAGCAUCCAGGGAACUGUGGACAAGCUAUUUGAUACCUGAAUUUUAGUGAAGGAAAGUUAAAUUUUUUCUUAAAGCAGGGUGGGAGUGGGGUUGUGUGGGGAAGAUUAUAUUAAGCAGUGAGAGAAGACAGAUGGAGUUUUGUAGAAAGAGAGCUGGUUGUUUUAAAUUGUAUCUUAAAUUUAUUGUAGAGCUAUUGGUAAUUAGUGUUUUGUUGUUGUGUGUUUAUACCAACCAAUUAAUAAGAAAGGCUUUUAUUUUUAUUUCAUCAGUUGGAGCUGAACUUUAUUUUUUAUUAUAAAUAUAAGGCAUUAUUCUAGGGCCUGGCAAACAUAGGCAGCCACUUUUUUUUUCUGGGGAAGAUUAUACCUUGGUAUGUUUUCACCACUGUGAGAUGAAAAUUUGAGAACAGUGAGAGACAGAUGCUUGCCUGAGGAGUUUUAUUUUCCCUUUAAUCCUUAUCAAAUAUCCAGAUAUUACCUAUAUUGCCUUGAUCUGCUGUCUGAAGGCUUUGUUGGGCCAGGAGAUGGUUUUGCAGCAGCAGAAGACUAUGAACUGGGCUUUGGGAGAUAGGAUCUCUGGUUGUAUUCUGGCUAUCCACACUCUGAAAGAGGACCGUGACAGAGAAUUUGAGUAUCCUACCAAUAUACCUACAAAAGGAUGAAAGAAGAUUUGGAGUCAAGGGAAAACAAGGGCAAUAAAAUAGAAGCUUACCACCUGCUCUCAUACAGUUGCUAGAAGAGGACUGCAUAUUUGGUUCUAAGUUUCUGGAAGAUAAAGCCAAAAUAGAAACACAACUCAUUAUAAAAUUUUGGUGUAUCCAUAAAAUAAAAACAAAUGACCUGUUUGAGAAAACUCUUUCUGAGUUUGAGCUCUAAAAGGAACUUCUCUAUGGAAUCCUUAGAAUAUGAGAAGGCUGUGAUAUAGGGGAGAAACCCCUUGACAUUCCUAUAUUGGGUUUAGGUCUAAUUUCACUCAGUAGUUUUUAAAUGUUACUCCUUGUAGACAGAUGAUGAGACGCCAAAGUACAGCUGAGUGAAAGCGGUUCCUUUGAAAACUAAAGGCUGUAAAAACAAGGCUGUGGAUCAUGUUGUUUCAGUUCUUUAUAGAUUUUUUAAACUGAAUUUUGCAUCUGUGUACAUGAAGAAUAAAUUGUAGAAUAUCUAAGGAAAUGGAUGGGCUGCUUAUCUUUUAGAACCUCCAUAAAUUAUUUAUUGUAAGUAUGUUUGAUAAGGAUUGUACAGCUGAGAGUUCAAGGUUGCAUUUUUUUCCCCAGCAAGAACCAAAAGUGCAGAUAACAUGCAGCCAAUUAAGGACAAAUCUGUAUGGUUUGUCAAUCAAUCUGUCAGGAUGUCCCUGAAUUGUAGCACUUAUCACUUGGUAUUAUAGACAUCUGUGUCCCUGGCAUAACUGCAUCCUCUUCAAGGGCAGGAAUUGCUUCUUUUCCAUUUUUGCACUCUAGCAUCCAGCAUUAUGUUUGAGACCUAGCAUCUAUAUGAGAGACUUUGUUGAACGGAAUCAAUUGAAAGGCUUCCCAUUAUCAUGCAGUACUACUUGACAAAGAUCAGAACCCUGAGCAAUCAAGGGCAGGAAACAUAGGCUAGCUGAGCUUUGAAGGAAGUGAAAAGAAAAAGAGGCAGCAAAGAUGGGAACAUGGAGGACAGUCUGAGAAAACAAGCUCAGGGUUGAAGGGGGUGUUCCAGUGAAGGGGUGAUGAGUGGGACCUCACACAUGGAGCAGAUAACAUUGGUGCAUCAGUUGAUUUAAAUGAGCAGAAUGGAAAGUGUCUAAAAGAGAGAUGUGGAAAUGAGUAGAAACAUCCCUUUCCUGUUGGGCCAGCUAUUGUCUAUGGUUAGUCCUUUUCCCAUCCUUAUUUCCUCUCCUCUGAAUUGCAAGUUGCUGGAAACAUGAGAAGUGCAUUCCUUGCUCCCUUGGUUACUGGGCUUCAGUUAGCAUUUGCCAAUGAGGGUGAGCACUCAUGGGAGACUGGAAAGUGGUAGAAAGGGAAAGCCAUUCAGCUGGCUGUGACAGUGGCAGCAGCGGGCAGUACCGUGGGCUCCAACAGCAUUGGUGGUGGCUCCAGCAUCAUCACUGGGAGCUUGGGCUCCUGGGUUCCUGCUCAGCAGCUAUGGUCAGUACCUUCUGAGAUGGCCUCCUCUGAUCCUCACCUCUUGGUAUUCAUGGCCUUGUGAAAUCCCCUUUGCUUGAGUAACUUGCUGCCAACCAAUAGAAUAUGGCAAUGUUGAGGGUUGCUACCUUUCUGACUAGGUUGCAAAUGAUUGUGACUUCUGUCUUGCUGGCAGGCUCUCUCUAUUUGCCUUUUGGUUUGUGUGCUCUGAGGAUGCAAACUGCCAUGUUCGUGAGACCUGCAUGGCGAGGAAUUGAGGGCAGACUCUGUCCAACAGCCAGUGAGAAACUGAGGUCCAACAGCCUACACGGAGCUGAAUCUUACCAAUAACUACAUGAACUUGAAAGUGUAUCCUUCCCUUCAGAUGAGUGUAGCCUGAGUGACACCUUAACUGAAGCCUAUGAGAGGCCCUGAAGCAGAGGAAGGACCCAGCUAGCUCACACCUAGAUUUCUGAUGCAUAGAAACUGUGAGAUAGCAUGUGUUAUUUUAAGCCAGUUUUGAGAUGAUUUGUUAUACAAUAGCAAUAGAUAACAAAUAUGAUGGCAGAGCUCUGUUCCAACAGCAGUAGCAAGCGUGUGCUUGCCGACUCUGGAUCACUCCACAUUCACCUCUUUGCUUCUACAGCUAUGGGACAAUAGCAGCAGCGUCCUACAGUUGCCAAUUUCUAGGUAAUGCCAUUUUCCACUUGACCUGUGUUUUCAAAACCUUUGUCACCAUUUUCCUAUAUUAAAUUCCUUCAUAAUAACAGAAGAGUGGCUAACAUAUGCACACAACUAUUUUUCUUGAUAGGGAGAUAAAGAGAGCAUUGCUGUAUAUUAAAUGUAGUUAUGUCUUUUUAGAUGUUUAAGAAAAUGAAAUGCACCUUUUUUCAAGUGAAUAAAUGUUUGCCUCUCUGUA